UUGCUGUGGCAACCCUAAGGCAUAGUUAGAAAUUUAACUUCUCCCAAUUAAUUUUAAUAAAAAUAAUUGAUAAAUCAUUUAAUUUAGUGUUAAUAUCGAAUUAAUUAAGUAAAAUACAUUAAUAGAAUCUUAUGUUAUAAAAUAAUUAACAGUGUUAUUGUGUAAUAAGUUUAUUUUUAUAUAACUUUAGUUUUGUGCAUCUCCCGUGAUACGUCAGCAAAAUGAUGACCCGAGAAAACAAAGCCCGCCAAACCGAGAAACAGCUCCAGCUAACCCUUGUGGAGCUAAAAAAGUACAAGGGUCAGUACAAACAGCUACUAAAAGAAAGGGAUGACAACGAAAUGGAGGUUAUAGACAUUAUAAAUAAAAAUAAAAAAUUAAAAACUGAUCUAUGUCAAUUGCACAUGGAAAACUCAAAGUUAAUAGAGGAAAAUAAAAACUUGCCAGCAGUGGUCAGUGAGUUUGAGCAGGAAAGAAAUCAAUUGAAAAUACAAGCUUAAGAACUCUGUAUAGAUUUGGAAAAUAUCAAAAAAGACUUUGAGGAAAGUGUGAGCUUUCUUCAGGCUGAGUUACUAGCCUUACAUCAAAAUCUGGAUCAUGUCAAAACAAUACCAGAUUUCACAGAAAGACAUAGCCGAACACAAAGACAAUCUCGCAAACUCUUCACAUAAGAAACAUAUUAAGAUUUAUAGCGAUGACCAUGGAAGAAAUAUGGGGUUGAUUUUGCAUAAAAUUAGUAACAGGCAGUUAGUAUCAAACUUUUGCAUGCCAGGGGCAAGUUACUAUCAAAUUAUAAAAAGAAUUCUUAGUGAUACUGCUCUAAUACUUCUAUUAUUGUUAUGAUUGGGAGAAGAGGGAAAUUAAAUAAAAAUGUUCUACAAAAAUUAUUCAAUGAGUAAAUAGUUUAAAAAUAGAAAAUCUUAUAAUAUUCACACUGCCAUUUAUACAAGAUUUGCCACAGGAAAACAAAGCAAGAGACAAUUAGAAUAAUAUGUAAACCCUAUUGUCUCAUACAAAUUAUGUGACAUAUAAUGGUAAUUUAUUAUGUAGUAACAUACACAUAAUUGAUAUUAAUAAUAUAAUUAAUCAUGAAUGUAAAAUGUUGACAUUUAAUAGGUUACACCUAUCUAAUUUUUAUAAAAGACAGAUAGCUAAAUCGCUUUCUUUUUAUUUAUCUUAUAACACAGCCAAGUAUUUGGCAACCCGGUCCCCUGCUUCUAUUGAGCAGUGUAAUAGCUUGUUGCACUUGGCUCCUGUUAAGCAAAGUAAUUAUUUGAUUAACACUGCUUCUAUUGAGCAGUCUUAUAGUUUAGUUUCUGGUUUGGAAUAUGUUCCAAAUUAUUUAAAUUAGUCAAUAAGACAAUAGGAGACUCCUCUAGCAAUAUAAAUACACAAUGUACAAGUACUAGUAAACAUAAUAAUUGUAAAGUCAUAAACCUGAUGCACCAAAAUAUGCAAGGAUUGUUAGGUAAAGAACUGGAACUGGAGUUACUAAUGAACCAUGAAAAUAUUGAUAUCUUAUGUCUUACCGAACACUUAGAAAAAAUGAACUCAUUUUUAACUCCAGUGGUCAUAGGGUGGCAAGUGUGUUUAGCAGAGAAAAGGCAACAUGUGGCGGCUCUCUUAUACUUAUAAGUAAAUCAUUUAAAUUGAAAGACUGUAAAGGUAUUGUGGGCCUCUCUGUUGAACAUACCAUUGAAAAAGCCUAUGCAGAGCUUGAGUGUGCCAUUGUUGUAAGUAUAUACAGGCCCCCCGAUGCAUUAAAUGAGUUAUUUGAGGAUGUAUUGGAGGAGGUUCUAUCAAAAUUAUCAGAAUCUUAGAAAUAAAUUAUGAUUUGUGGUUACUUUAAUAUUAAAUUAUUAGAAAAAUCCACCACAAGUAUUAGAUUCAAA
Long non-coding RNA from Leptidea sinapis, 1892 nucleotides. RefSeq lists it as uncharacterized. The transcript is spliced from 2 exons. The record is from RefSeq and is a predicted model, not a curated record. Lineage: Eukaryota; Metazoa; Arthropoda; Insecta; Lepidoptera; Pieridae.